UUGAUGUCCAAUGUCCAUGUCCUCUUAAUAAUUGUAGUUUUAACUUUUAUUACACUGAAUAGUUAACGCGUCUCACAAAUCGUAUGUAUAGCUCGUACAAAAAUCAUUAUUAAUUGAAGGGGUCAGUGGAUAAAUGUGUUAACUGACAUUUUUUCAAAAAUGCAUUUUAUUGCAUGAAUAAAGGUGUUAUAAUGCUAUAAACAUUAUAUCACUAUUUGAUAAGGUUUAAUUUAGUAGUUACCAAUAAUAGUUAUGGUUACCUACAUGUUAUAAGAAGAAUUAAUCAUUAGUUGUAGUGGAUAAACGUGUUAGUGUAUGUUAACUUGAACAAUUUCAAAAAUGUUAGUUAACACCUUUAUCCACUGACCCCUUCAAUUAUUUUGUAAAUAUAUUGACUGUCAGAGAACACUAUCGAUAAUGUGAGUAAUGAGUAUAUCGAUACUAUCCGCGCUCUCAUAAAAGGCGUGCGACGGUGACACCGUGUUGCGCAGCCAGCCGCCCAGACAGUUGGCAAGUGGGCAGUUCCAGUGGCAACAGUUCCGCUGCAUGUCGGUUAUCGCUAUCAGUCGGCGUGUGCUCCGCAACACGACCACACUACCUGACAGCCAGUUGAAAAUAUUUUUGAAGCGAGACUGCCGUUAUUUGCUCGAACGUCAGCAACUCUCCGGCGGGAAGGUCCUUACGUUCCACGGAAUUAUUUAUGUUUUCGAUACAGUUUAAAGCUGCUAUAAAUAUUCGGAGGACAUAUAUGUGGAAGAUUCAACGACUAUGUGAGGGCUGAAGAGUACAUGUGUGGAAAUAAGAUGAGUGUGAUGCCUACCUGAAUGGUUAAACCAGCAUUCAUUGCGGCGUGUAUUGCAGUAAGAAAACGUACGAUAAGAGAAUAUCCAGUUGUAGCGUUUCUGAAAGCUUAGAUAUUACACUAUGCCUAGAUUAUUUAAGUGGAAAAGGGAGGAUAACAAUCAUUGCAGAUUGUAUACACUUGGAAAUCAGCACCAGAAGUACGGAACUCAGAGAUUAUUAUUGCAUUGUUGCGGCGUGCCAUGUGGCCAGAACUCCAGAGGCGAUCAACAUUCAAAUAUAGUAUCAAUGCAUGCAUAGGAAGAGAUAA
Molecule: long non-coding RNA, 1111 nt
Filed under: Acyrthosiphon pisum (pea aphid)
Lineage: Eukaryota; Metazoa; Arthropoda; Insecta; Hemiptera; Aphididae
Description: uncharacterized LOC100576003, transcript variant X1
Source: RNAcentral